UCCCAGACUCCUACGGGAGGCAGCAGUGAGGAAUAUUGGUCAAUGGGCGAGAGCCUGAACCAGCCAAGUCGCGUGAGGGAGUACUGUCCUAUGGGUUGUAAACCUCUUUUGUCGGGGAGCAAAAGCCGGACGUGUCCGUCUGUGAGAGUACCCGAAGAAAAAGCAUCGGCUAACUCCGUGCCAGCAGCCGCGGUAAUACGGAGGAUGCGAGCGUUAUCCGGAUUUAUUGGGUUUAAAGGGUGCGCAGGCGGAAUGUCAAGUCAGCGGUAAAAUUUCGGGGCUCAACCCCGUCGUGCCGUUGAAACUGGCGUUCUUGAGUGAGCGAGAAGUAUGCGGAAUGCGUGGUGUAGCGGUGAAAUGCAUAGAUAUCACGCAGAACUCCGAUUGCGAAGGCAGCAUACCGGCGCUCAACUGACGCUCAUGCACGAAAGCGUGGGUAUCGAACAGGAUUAGAUACCGAGUA
This 463-nucleotide ribosomal RNA is filed under the name uncultured bacterium. Its description in RNAcentral is "bacterial SSU rRNA". It matches the Rfam family "Bacterial small subunit ribosomal RNA", at positions 329 to 792 of the family's 1533-position model. The record is from RNAcentral.